GGCCGCACGAGGACGUGGUCCCGCCCCAACCGCUGUUCAGCGGCGCGGGGCGGCGAGACCCAGGUAGUUGCACCGGUGCGGGUGGCUGCAGUGCCUCACGUGAAUUGAACACUACCAGGUUGCUUUACAAAGGUGGUCUCGGAACACCCAGUUGAGGAUGCUUGGCAGGGACAGUGUACCUCCAUCUCUGGGAGAAGCUCCCUGGGCCUCAAUUUCCCCGUCUGUAAAAUGGGGGUCCUGGCAUAGCACAGAUAGAUGCUCAGUAUUCGUUGUUUGAAAAAAAGAAUGGGACAGUCCUUAGCAUGGAGGUUGGCCACAGGGCAAUGGUGGUUGCUGCUGCUUCGGACGAUAAUCAUAAUAACAAUAAUGUCAAUUAAUAUAGUAAUUAUUACAAUAGCUAUAAUAAUAUAUUGUAAUUAUAGGUUACAUUAAUUAUAAUUGCAUAAUUAAUAAUUUUUAAUCUUAUUAUUCAGAGGCUAUACCAAAGUGAUUGGGAAAAAAAAAAAAGUGAUUGGGAGUGCUUGCUUUGGGGUGAAAUCCUGACCUGGACACCUGCUAGCUGUGUGAUUUUGUACAAGUGACUUCACUUCUCUGAGUCUAGAGUUUCCUCCCCUGGGAAAGGGAAAUCCUAUCCAUUAAGAUGGGAUGAAGAAGCGCUUCUGGAUGGCUCUCUGUGUGGAGCCUGUCACUUGAUCUCUGGGUGGUGGUGAUUCUAUUUCUGAGUUGAGGCCGCUUUGACAUCCAUCCCUCAGGGCAUGCUUCUUGAUGGCUUUUUGACCUCGUUCAGCAUGGAGGUAGAUUCCAGGUUUGCCCAGCUGUGGACACCUCCAACACAUCCCUCAAUUGCUCUUGGGCAAAUUGCAGGGCACGUGAACAUUCCACUGGCGGAGGAAGGACCAGCUGGUUUCAACACGGCCACCAUAACACACCAGGACCAUCACCCAGGAGGAGCCCUUUGUGGAACAUGGAUGUGUGGCCAAGGCCCCAGCGACGCCGGUGGGGAACAGAAAAAUAGGCAUGUGUGUCUAUUUUAUAGCUCUUCUCUGCUCUCUGAACGGCCUCUUUGAAGCAGGGGGACGGACGGCCAGCAAAGUCAUCCUGAAUCAAUAACUGGCGUAGCGUGUCAGGAGGUGACCAAAGAAUCAGAAGGGGAACGGACCUCAUCACACCCACGAGGACGAUCGUCGUCCAAAGUGGAAAAUAACAAGUGUUGUCAAGGAUGUGGAGAGACUGGAAGCCUCGUGCACCGCCGGUGGGAAUGCAAAACGGGGCAGCGGCCGUGGAAAGAAGUUUGGCGGGUCCUCAAAAAGUUAAACAUAGAAUUAUUUUAUGAGCCAGAAACUCUGCUUCUGGGUGUGUACCCAGAAUAAUUGAAUGUCGGGUCUCAAAGAGAUUCUUGUACAUGUAUGUUCACAGCAGCAUCGCCCAAAGGUAGAAACACCCCAAGUGUCCAGGAACAGAGGACGUGGAUAAACACUGGUCCAUGCACGCGGAGGAAUGUUUCUCAGCCAUAAAGAGCACUGAAGCUCUGAUACAUGUCAUAUCAUGGAUGAACCUCGAAAACAUCGUGCCGAGGGAAAAAAAGCCAGAUACAAAAGGGCACAUCGUGUGUGAUUCCAUGUGUAUGGAAUGUCCAGAACAGACAAACCCAUGGACACAGAGAGCAGAAAAGAAUGCGUUCACUAACCCAGUGGCCAUGUGCCACGUGCAAGUGCCAUGUACCAGUGAUGAACUCCGGCGAAGCUCCUCCCCACAGCACAGCAGCUGGGUGAGGGCAGCGACUCGCUCGGGCCUGUGGGGGUCCACGCUCAUUCCCCGGGGCCCACCUAGUGCCGAGAGAGGCCGAACUGGAAAAGUAAAUGGAGAUGUACAGGGAGCCACCCCUCCAUUCUUCAGGCCUGUGGCGGUGGCCUCUCUGCAGGUUCUGGAUGUUAAUGAAGAGGCGCCUUCAAUGACUGCCCAUCCAUCUCAUCCAGAGAGACAUUUGUUAACUCCAUAACCAUCUCCAUGACUCAGUGGGGGCUUGAGCACCUUGCCUGGCAUCCCAAGCAUGUUCUCCCAAAGAGAGAACCAACAGGAUAUGGUAUAUCAAGAGGCUUAUUGCAUGGAGCUGGCUUAUGCAACUGUGGGGACUGACCAGUCUGAAAUUCGUAGGGCAGCGGGGCAGACUGGAGACACAGGGCGGCACUGAUGCCACAAUCCACAGGCUGCCCAAGACUCUCCAUAACCGGGACGCCUGGGUGGCUCAGCGGUUGAGUGUCUGCCUUUGGCCCAGGGCAUGAUCCCAGGAUCCGGGAUCGAUUCCCAUAUCAGGCUCCUUGCAGGGAGCCUGCUUCUCCCUCAGCCUAUGUCUGCCUCUCUCACUGUGUUUCUCAUGAAUAAAUAAAUAAAAAUCUUAGGAAAAAAAAAAAAACAACAACUCUCCAUAACUAAACCCAAGCCAGGCUCCUCUGAACCCUCUUCUUGACUAGGCCCAAACCUUGACCUAUAAAGAUUUGAACAAAGCACAAACAUGGUGUCUAAAGGCUCAAGGCCACAUCCCUAGGAUGACCCUAGCUCCCUUAAAGUACCUGCUUGAGAACACUCAAGGCUGCUCAAGGAACUGGCCAUCUGAUCCAGUGACACCUGAAGGUGGGCCCUGUCUCCCAGCCUCUGGGGUAUGGGAGCCAAACUUCCAGAAGCACAGUUGGCAAACCCAGUUGGGUUUAACAAGGGCCAAGCACCUGCCCCUCCACUUCCAGUGUUUUGUACUGGUUCACUUCCUUGACUACAAAGCCCCCCUCACCUACCUUCCUGUCCCCCAACAUCAAAUGGGUGUUGAGUUUGCCUAGUGUAAUAAUUAUGUUCCUGGGCAGCCCCGGUGGCUUAGUGGUUUAGCGCCGCCUUCAGCCCGGGGUGUGAUCCUGGAGACCCGGGAUCGAGUCCCACGUCGGGCUCCGUGCAUGGAGCCUGCUUCUCC
Canis lupus familiaris (dog) is the source of this 2959-nucleotide long non-coding RNA. RefSeq lists it as uncharacterized. The transcript is spliced from 6 exons. The record is from RefSeq and is a predicted model, not a curated record. NCBI's taxonomy places the organism in Eukaryota, Metazoa, Chordata, Mammalia, Carnivora, Canidae.